Molecule: long non-coding RNA, 2957 nt
Filed under: Piliocolobus tephrosceles (Ugandan red Colobus)
Lineage: Eukaryota; Metazoa; Chordata; Mammalia; Primates; Cercopithecidae
Description: lncRNA (ENSPTEG00000010194.1)
Source: RNAcentral
AACAGCACCUUGUACAAAAUUUUUAAGAGGAAAAUGUAAUGCUGAAUCCCAUUGUAGACAUGCACAUUAUAUAGAAGAAUUAAGACCGUUGCCUGGUAAUUCAACACCAUCUCAAAAUGCUAUAAAUUUAAUGUUAGCAGCACCUGUAGUUAACUCUUUCCAUAAAAUGAAUAAAACAAAGAGUGUGAAUAAAACUGGUAGUAAUAAUCAUCAUAAUAGUUAUAUAAUAAAUGGGAUUAAUAAUAAUAAUAAUAAUAAUGGUAAUAGUAGUAGCAAUACCAGCAGUAAGAAUAAUAAUAAUAAUAAUAAUAAUAAAAAAAAAAAUGAUAAACAUUUAAAACAUUCCAAUUCCAUAGGAUGUAAUAAAUUUAAUAUACAAAAGUGUGAUAAUAACAAGACCUUUUCAAAUCAAAUGGUAAAAAAUCCUAGUUUGGAUAAUACGAAUACAAAUAAUGACAUAAACCAAUUAAACAUGAAUAAUAAUAAUAAUAAUAAUAAUAAUAACAAUAAUAAUAAUAAUAAUAAUAAUAUGAUUGCAAACAUACAUGGGGAUAUAGGUAAUGCAGCUUUGAGUGGUAGCAAUAGUACUAUUGCAUCGUUGAAUUGUAACAUGCUUACACCUGAUAGUAGUAUGAGCACGAUAUGUGUUAAUAUGAGUACACCUGGUGGUAGUGGUAUGUGUACCCUGAGUGGUAGUAGUAUGAUUCCUUUGGGUAAUAACCAAAAUAUAUUAAAUGACAACCAUAAAAUGACAAUGAGUAGUAAUUAUGACAAUGUUUUGAAUGAAAAUAAUAAUAAUUGCACGACGAAUGGUGGCUUAAACGAUUCCAUUAAUGGUAACCUAAAUGAUCGCAUAAACGAUAACCUUAACACUAACAUGGAUAACAGUUUGAAUAUGAAUAUAAAUAAAAAUUAUCAAAAAAGUUCAUCUUAUCCUAAUAAAAUGCAUAACUUGUUAAAAAUUAAAGAAAAUAACAAUGAGCAUUUUAACCGCCACAACCAUCAUCAUCAAUACCACCACCAUCACACUGCUACUCUUAAUAAUAUAAAUUUUAAAAAUUAUAUAAUAAAUAAUAAUAAUAAUAAUAAUAAUAAUAUAGAAAAUGAAAAUAAUGCAAACUCGUACCCGAACUCGUACCCAAACUCGUACCCGAACUCGUACCCAAACUCGUACCCAAAUUCGUACCCAAAUUCGUAUGCAAACUCGUAUGCAAACUCGUAUGCAAACUCGUAUGCAAACUCGUACACGAAUAUGAGCACAUUAGGGUUCGGGAAAUUGCAAACGUUAUGUAGUAAUAGUAAUAGCGACUAUGUUAAUAAUAAUAAUAAUAACAAUAAUAAUAAUAAUAAUAAUAAUAAUAACAAUAAUAAUAAUAUAGAUAACGAUUUAUGUAGUACAACGUGCAAAUCGCUUAGUGAUUUUAUUACCACAGAUGUAAAUUCGAAUUAUGGUUUGAAUCAUAAGGCAAAUAUAACAAAUAUAUUAAAUAAUACGGAUAAUGAUAAUGAUGAUAGUAAUGUUACUAGAAUAACACAGGAUUCACAUUUUAAUGUAAAUAAAAAUACAAAACUAAAAGGAAGUCAAGGGUUCCUUACUUUUUCUUCUUAUUCAUUAAGAGGUGUAUCAGCAUCAUCACCCAUGAGGAGUAGGAGGUUAUUAAGCAGUUCACCUAAGUAUUUUGUGACAGAUACAGAAAAAAAUUUUGCAGAUGCAAUUGAGCACAUGGAAAUAACAGCACAAGAUAGUGCUUUAAAAGUUAUAGAGGAUGACAAUGAAAAAGUUAAUAACACAGAUAUAAAUAAUUUUUUAAAGUUGUUUCAGUUGUCAAAGGGUACAAAUAGUUAUACAGAUGACGAUUUUUUAUUUAACACUGAUGUUGAUUGUAGUAGUAAUGGUAACAGUAACUGCUAUAAUAAAAAUAAUAAUAAUAAUAAUAUUAAUAAUAACAUUAAUAUUAAUAAUAACAUUAAUAUUAAUAAUAACAUUAAUAAUAACAUUAAUAAUAAUAUUAAUAAUAAUAGCUGUAGCGGUGAUGAUCAUUUACUUUACAAGCCUUAUAAAAGUAUCUCCAUAUUAGAAAAUCAUGAUAAUAGUAACUACGAAAAUGGUAGUGGUAACUACGACAAUGGAAGUGGUAACUACGAAAAUGGAAGUGAUGAAUACAGCAAUGGCAAUAAUGUUAAUAAUAGUAAGAGUAGUAAUAGGAACAACUAUAGAAACGACAACACUAAACAUAAAAGGCAAGACGAUUUAGUCAUAGAAAUGAAUAAUAAUAAUAAUAAUAAUAGUAAUGGUAAUAGUAAUGGUAAUAGUAAUGGUAAUAGUAAUGGUAAUAGCAAUGGCGAUAGCAAUGACGAUAGCAAUGGCGAUAGCAAGGGCGAUAACAAUGGUAAUAGUAAUGGUAACAGUAAUGGUAACAUUAAUGGUAAUAGUAAUGGUAACAGUAAUGGUAGCAGUAAUGGUAGUAAUAAUGGUAGCAGUAAUGGUAACAGUAAUGGUAACAGUAAUGGUAACAGUAAUGGUAGUAAUAAUAUGUCAUCAGAAGAGCAUAUACAAAUUUGUAAUAACAUGAAGACACAACCAUUACCUUCUGUAACAAAUAUGGCAAUUAGUAAUGACCAUAAUAGCAUGGUCUUGUAUGAACCCAAUGAAAACUUAAAAAACGUGUACAAUAACAACUCCUUAAUCAGUUGUUCUAAUUUUUGGAAUUAUCAAGAAGAAGAGUUAGCUAAUAAAACAUCAAAAAUUGUUCGUAAUGUGGAAAUUUUUGACUGUUAAAAAAAAAAAAAAAAAAAGUUAAGUUGCUAUAUAAAUGGAAAACAGUGACCAAGUGAAUUGUAAGAAGUUGAGUUGAAGAAAAGGUUAUAAAAGAAAAAAACAGAAAAAAACAGAAAAAAACAAAAAACAAAAAACGAAAAAAAAUAAAUAAAUAAAUAAAUAAAUAAGUAAAUAAAUA